This 246-nucleotide ribosomal RNA is filed under the name uncultured bacterium. RNAcentral's name for it is "partial 16S ribosomal RNA". It matches the Rfam family "Bacterial small subunit ribosomal RNA", at positions 8 to 244 of the family's 1533-position model. The record is from RNAcentral.
AGAAUUUGAUCAUGGCUCAGGAUAAACGCUGGCGGCGCACAUAAGACAUGCAAGUCGAACGAACUUAACCAUUAGUUUACUAUUGGAGCGGUUAGUGGCGGACUGGUGAGUAACACGUAAGCAACCUGCCUAUAAGAGGGGAACAACAGUUAGAAACUGACGUGCUAAUACCGCAUAUGCCUUAGAAUCACAUGGUUCGAAAGGGAAAGGAGCAAUCCGCUGAUAGAUGGGCUUGCGUCUGAUUAG